Molecule: ribosomal RNA, 398 nt
Filed under: uncultured bacterium
Lineage: Bacteria
Description: partial 16S ribosomal RNA
Rfam family: Bacterial small subunit ribosomal RNA
Source: RNAcentral
AUACGUAGGGUGCGAGCGUUGUCCGGAAUUACUGGGCGUAAAGAGCUCGUAGGUGGUUUGUCGCGUCGUCUGUGAAAUUCCGGGGCUUAACUCCGGGCGUGCAGGCGAUACGGGCAUAACUUGAGUACUGUAGGGGAGACUGGAAUUCCUGGUGUAGCGGUGAAAUGCGCAGAUAUCAGGAGGAACACCGGUGGCGAAGGGGGUUCUCUGGGCAGUAACUGACGCUGAGGAGCGAAAGCAUGGGUAGCGAACAGGAUUAGAUACCCUGGUAGUCCAUGCCGUAAACGGUGGGCGCUAGGUGUAGGGGUCUUCCACGACUUCUGUGCCGUAGCUAACGCAUUAAGCGCCCCGCCUGGGGAGUACGGCCGCAAGGCUAAAACUCAAAGGAAUUGACGGGG